This 977-nucleotide ribosomal RNA is filed under the name uncultured archaeon. RNAcentral's name for it is "bacterial SSU rRNA". It matches the Rfam family "Archaeal small subunit ribosomal RNA", at positions 1 to 946 of the family's 1478-position model. The record is from RNAcentral.
CUUGUAAAAGACGGCCCAGUGCAAAGUUUGCAUGCCUCCAGUCUCUGGUUGAUCCUGCCGACCCCGACUGCUAUCAGAGUGGGACUAAGCCAUGCGAGUCAACGUAGCAAUGCGUGGCGAACGGCUCAGUAACACGUAGUCAACAUGCCCAGGGGACGUGGAUAACCUCGGGAAACUGAGAUUAAACCGCGAUAGGUCAAGAUUUCUGGAAUGGAUCGUGUCUUAAAUCUACAUGGCCCCUGGAUUGGACUGCGGCCGAUCAGGCUGUUGGUGAGGUAAUGGCCCACCAAACCUAUAACCGGUACGGGCUCUGAGAGGAGAAGCCCGGAGAUGGGCACUGAGACAAGGGCCCAGGCCCUAUGGGGCGCAGCAGGCGCGAAGCCUCUGCAAUGGGCGAAAGCCUGACAGGGUUACUCUGAGUGAUUUCCGUUAAGGAGAUCUUUUGGCAGCUCUAAAAAUGGUGCAGAAUAAGGGGUGGGCAAGUCUGGUGUCAGCCGCCGCGGUAAUACCAGCACCCCGAGUGGUCGGGACGAUUAUUGGGCCUAAAGCAUCCGUAGCCGGUUGUGCAAGUCCUCCGUUAAAUCCAGCCGCUCAACGGAUGGGCUGCGGAGGAUACUACAGGACUAGGAGGCGGGAGAGGCAAGCGGUACUUAGUGGGUAGGGGUAAAAUCCUUUGAUCCAUUGAAGACCACCAGUGGCGAAGGCGGCUUGCCAGAACGCGCUCGACGGUGAGGGAUGAAAGCUGGGGGAGCAAACCGGAUUAGAUACCCGGGUAGUCCCAGCUGUAAACGAUGCAGACUCGGUGAUGGGCUAGCCUCGUGUCAGCCCAGUGCCGCAGGGAAGCCGUUAAGUCUGCCGCCUGGGGAGUACGGUCGCAAGACUGAAACUUAAAGGAAUUGGCGGGGGAGCACCACAAGGGGUGAAGCCUGCGGUUCAAUGGAGUCAACGCCGGGACUCAGAGUCCCGUCGAUAUGCCC